Molecule: long non-coding RNA, 369 nt
Filed under: Rattus norvegicus (Norway rat)
Lineage: Eukaryota; Metazoa; Chordata; Mammalia; Rodentia; Muridae
Description: long non-coding RNA NONRATT017320
Source: RNAcentral
UUCUGAGUCACUAAGUUCGUGAAAGCAGUCACAUGGCUGCUGGCUCAGUUGAGGAGAAUCAGGCAGAAGAAAGCAAGCAAUGGAUCUCCAGGCUGUACUGGUAAAAGGCUUGAUAAAGCUAAGGGGUCAGCAAAUAGCGUGCCGCUCCGAUCCGUCUCGCGCGCCACCAUAAGAACACAGCAUGCUUCACUUUGGGUUAAACCAAGACUCACCCCUGGUUUUCUAAGGAUGGGCACAACUGAGAAAAACACUUUGGGAUUUCCAGUUUUAGCCACACAGUUGAUGACAACGGUCCGCAAACAUCAAAUAGAAAGUCCUGGAAAUAAACCAUUCUGGAAUGGUUGCAAACUUCAUCCGAGGACUGGAGAG